This 119-nucleotide ribosomal RNA is filed under the name Helianthus annuus (common sunflower). The record is from RNAcentral. Lineage: Eukaryota; Viridiplantae; Streptophyta; Magnoliopsida; Asterales; Asteraceae.
GGUUGCGAUCAUACCAGCACUAAUGCACCGGAUCCCAUCAGAACUCCGCAGUUAAGCGUGCGUGGGCGAGAGUAGUACUAGGAUGGGUGACCCCCUGGGAAGUCCUCGUGUUGCAACCC